Molecule: ribosomal RNA, 467 nt
Filed under: uncultured bacterium
Lineage: Bacteria
Description: partial 16S ribosomal RNA
Rfam family: Bacterial small subunit ribosomal RNA
Source: RNAcentral
GACGGACGCUGGCGGCGUGCUUAACACAUGCAAGUCGAACGGAAAGGCCCUGCUUUUGUGGGGUGCUCGAGUGGCGAACGGGUGAGUAACACGUGAGUAACCUGCCCUUGACUUUGGGAUAACUUCAGGAAACUGGGGCUAAUACCGGAUAGGAGCUCCUGCUGCAUGGUGGGGGUUGGAAAGUUUCGGCGGUUGGGGAUGGACUCGCGGCUUAUCAGCUUGUUGGUGGGGUAGUGGCUUACCAAGGCUUUGACGGGUAGCCGGCCUGAGAGGGUGACCGGCAACAUUGGGAUUGGGGAACGGCCCGGGCGCCUUGGGGGGGAAGGGGGGGGAAAUAUUGCCAAAGGGGCGGAGGGCGGAUGGAACAACGCCGGGUUGGGGAGGACGGCCUUCGGGAUAGAAACGCCUUUCGCUUGUAACGAGGGGUGGGGAAGGGAAAGGGGGAAAAAGGCCCCGGUAAACUAGUG